This 448-nucleotide ribosomal RNA is filed under the name uncultured bacterium. RNAcentral's name for it is "bacterial SSU rRNA". It matches the Rfam family "Bacterial small subunit ribosomal RNA", at positions 355 to 825 of the family's 1533-position model. The record is from RNAcentral.
CAGGGAAUCUUGCACAAUGGGCGAAAGCCUGAUGCAGCGACGCCGCGUGGGGGAUGAAGGCCUUAGGGUCGUAAACCCCUUUCAGCAGGGACGAAAAUGACGGUACCUGCAGAAGAAGCCCCGGCCAACUACGUGCCAGCAGCCGCGGUAAGACGUAGGGGGCGAGCGUUGUCCGGAUUUAUUGGGCGUAAAGAGCUCGUAGGCGGUUGCGUAAGUCGGAUGUGAAAACUCAGGGCUCAACCCUGAGACGCCAUCCGAUACUGCGCUGACUUGAAUCCAGUAGGGGAGUGUGGAAUUCCUGGUGUAGCGGUGAAAUGCGCAGAUAUCAGGAGGAACACCCAUGGCGAAGGCAGCACUCUGGGCUGGUAUUGACGCUGAGGAGCGAAAGCAUGGGUAGCGAACAGGAUUAGAUACCCGAGUAGUCCCUGAGCGGGCUGGCAAGGCGCAU